Molecule: non-coding RNA, 91 nt
Organism: Mycena leptocephala
Lineage: Eukaryota; Fungi; Basidiomycota; Agaricomycetes; Agaricales; Mycenaceae
Source: the annotation of a GenBank genome assembly
GACCUGGUGGUGAAAUGAAUCACACCCACUCUGCCUAUUGAGAUUCUAUAUCUGUGUGUGGGGGUCCCUGGUUCGAAUCCGGGCCAGGUCA